GACGAGCAAGUCUGGCUUCAGUUGUGUAUCAUGUAGUGGGAGGAAAGGUGUACUGGAUUUCGGAUUAAAAGUGUGAAAGUUACUUUAUUAUGAAUUUCAGUUUGCCACCUUUUCGAGAACAUUUAUAGAAGUUGUACUAGUGAGGUGUGAAAAUUAGAAAAUUCAUCACACUGAUAAUAUUGUAUGAGAGUGCCUGAAGGAUCAAUAUUGCAACUUAACGACUGUACUACCACAAGGAAACUAUCGACCCAGCGAAGACAGUAGUUGGGAUUUACCUCCGGGAUUAAAAACUUCAGGAUCACCCAACACCCACCAAAUCUAGGUUUGUGAGAUGGAUCAGUUCUCCCCGAUGUGAGGCUCUGGAGAUCCCACGCUUUUUUAUACACACGUAGUACUCGUCUCGGUAACACCCGCGGCUGAUACGGUCACCUGGUGGCUCACUCCGCGUGGGGCCGCCCUCACCAGGCCCUCCAAGGCCUUCGUGUGGCGAGGACAAUGAUGAAGGAUAAGGGCUAACAGCGGCGGAUGGCUACACUACCAGAGGAACGACAUGAAGGUAAGGGGGCG
Long non-coding RNA from Homarus americanus (American lobster), 567 nucleotides. RefSeq lists it as uncharacterized. The transcript has 5 exons. Lineage: Eukaryota; Metazoa; Arthropoda; Malacostraca; Decapoda; Nephropidae. The record is from RefSeq and is a predicted model, not a curated record.